Long non-coding RNA from Crotalus tigris (Tiger rattlesnake), 298 nucleotides. RefSeq lists it as uncharacterized. The record is from RefSeq and is a predicted model, not a curated record. NCBI's taxonomy places the organism in Eukaryota, Metazoa, Chordata, Lepidosauria, Squamata, Viperidae. The transcript is spliced from 3 exons.
AUGCAGCACACUGCUGGCUCAUAUUGAAAUGACAAUCCACCAGGCUACCCAGAUCCUUUUUACAGUGUCCCUACAGAAAGACACUUGGACAAGUUACUCCAUGUAUAUCUCCACUUUUGCUUUCGCUUAAAGUUCACUUAACAGAUAAUGGAGACAAAACACUCAGACAUCAAUGUGAUAGAAGGCAGGCAGGAAGAUAAAAGCAGGAUUCCUGCCAUUUACCAUAAUCUACCACCUACAGCAAAGAUGGAAUUUAUCCAGGGUUAAUCAGAGGCAGGAGAAGUCUGCAACCUCCAGU